GUAUUUAGUGAGCUCUUCUGAAACAAGGACACACAAAGAAUGGCUGGUAAAUGUUUUAUACUGCGCAGUACAGCCAAGGAUGUUUGUUCCUGUAAGACCGUCCUGGGACAUCCAUCUAGAGGGGAUGACUCAGGCAGCACGAAAGAAAAAUAAGUGUACAGCAGAAGUGCUGCUUACAAAGAUGUGAUACUAGAAACAGAGUUUUUCUUGUUCAGCUUCACAGAGUUUUCUAUUCCCAGCAUCACAGCAGGAAGCAUUACCUAAAAUGUGGGGGUUUUCCCCUCCUUAACAAGUGAUGCGUGAGAGGCUACGGUGCAAAGGCGUGUCCCUCAUGCUGGGCUUCCUGACACAACCAGUCUAUGCCCAUACAUAACCAAGCAGAGGGCAUGCCCUGUCUUUUCUGAUUCUCCCUUCCUCUUCCUCUUCCUCUUCUUCUUCCUCUUCCCAUGCCUUCCUUACCCUUGCCUCCUCUGCCACCCCCCCUUCCUUCACAGAAGCCUCUGGGGCUGGCAGUGGCCCUGUGAGCAUUACCAUGCACAAAGUCUCCGGUGGUGACAGUUUUUAGGGCUGUUCUGUGCAAAGUGUUCGUAGAAGUGCACUACUCUGUGUAAACGCCUUUUUUUUUCCUCCACUGUGUAUUACCACCUUUCAGUGAGAAAAGGAGCUAUAUGAAAAACCUAUUUCUUUUUCUCAACUUACAUCAGUUUUAGCCUGCUGUAGUGACACAGCCUUCUAUAGAGUUACUCCCAAUUUACACCAGUGCAUGUGAGAUGACAAUCAGGCAAAAUAUCUCUCUUGGACUUAUGGAAGGAAUGACCUUGCUGGGGAAUUCCUGAGCCCAAAAAUGUUACUUCAAUAGGGAAGGCCUCAUUUACACCUGUAUGUUCUGGAAGAAUCUAUUUUACAAGUAAAAAUAAAAUCGUUAUUUGACCAUCUCUCCAACAGGUGCAUGUUUCUCUCAGUUCAGAAAUAGUUUUGAAAACUAGAGAAAACAGUGAGCAACACUCUGGUAAGGAGAAAGGAAAAAGGAUCUUAACCUCAGUUCACAAACCCACAGACCUUCAGCUUACAGAAACAGGAUGGAAAGUUAUUUUAUUUGCUGUUUGACUUCUUGGAAGAAAACACCCGCUCCUCUACCUGAAACUCUUGAAAGAACAAAGAGGAUGGAAACUACACGGUCUCUGCAGGGCAAUCCCAGUUUCUCUUUCAAAUGAUUUUAUUUGUGUGACAGGCGUCAGGGCCAAGUUCAUUGUGGUUCAGCCGUGUUACACAGAGGGUGGAUCUGGCUACUUCUGUUGGAAGAGGAACAGUGUAAAACUAAUUUCUCCAGAUUUGCUGGUUUUGGCCCUGUUUUCAGAAAUAGUAUCUUUCAUGAUUUCAACAGAUGAUGAUAAAGGUUUGAAGCCAAAAGGGUCAUGAAGACUACAAACGGGGUCAGUUUCCAUCCCCUGUGGUAAGUGAGCCUAUUUACUGUCUGUUCCAAAGCACUGAAAGAUUAAAUUUGGGAGAAAUCAAUAUAUGACUUCUAGAGGGUAUGUGAACUGAAAUAGCUGUGAGCAUCUCUUUUCCCUCUUACAUGAAAUAUGCUCUUGAGUGUGAUACAGAAGACCUGUGUAAUUUGUUAUCAUGAUUGUGGGAUCCAAACAUCAAAUUUUGCAAAUUGGCAAAUAUGCAAAUGGACAUGAUAAAGUAACAUAUUUAUCGAUGAUAUAUAUGCCGCGUGAAAAAAAACUACUUUUCAUUGCACAGUGCAAAAUACUUUUGAGCAAUAUCCGAGAGUAUAAUCUAUAGCAUUGAUAAAAAUACCUCACUGGAGUUUGUUUAGCCACAGUUGUAAUGCAAAAAGCAGACACGGUACUAAAGCAGGUGUGUGGGGAGUGGUGCCCUUCACCCGGCGCAGGGGAGUCUCUGGGGGUGUACAGCACUGCUGACUGUCAGGCUGCGCUGUGUCCAGGAGGAAUAGCAUGGAUGGGUUGCUAUAGGCAGCAUACCACUUUGGAGGCACGGGUUCCACUGUGUGCAUCUGAGUGGGAGCCAACAGUAUGAACACAGAAGAAUGAUAUUUUUUUUUUUAAAAAAAAGCUUAUUCAAAGAUAUCUAAGCUGUAUUCAGCAUGUCCACUAUGGCACCUUAUCAUUGCCAGUUAUUAGGAUGCUUCUCCAGAAAACUGGAGACCUGCUUUCCAUGUCUCAGGCUGAAAGCAAUUUUAUUUAACUCUUACUGUAAGGGAAGUGGGGAAGAUGUAAGGAGAUGCUUUCUGCUGUCCAGCUGAAAAUAAAAUAUUUUAUAGCAAGGAAAGAUUUUUUUCUCUCUCUCCCCCUCUGAAUCAUAUACAGUCACUGCAGAGAAGCAUUUGCAAUACCUAGGUAUCAGUCUUUCCAAUUCAGACACUGCAGAGAGACACUCUGAAUAUGGUGCAGUAUCUUUGAAAGGCAAAGGCCUAUAUUGCUUCCUUGUACUCUCACCUCCCUUCCUACCACUUCUCCUUCAUUCCUCUCUACUUUUGUUCUUUUCCCCUUUCCCUUACAUUCCCUGUGGUGAGCUGACGAUGGUGCAAUUAGCCAGGAAAUACUUUAUUUAAAGAGAUAAGCAAAACCUGCUUCUGGUAGAACACUCUGAUUUGGAGAAACCUCUUUCUUGAUCUCCAGGAAUGUUAUUGUAGGCUAAUUUAGCUGUAUUUUGCUGUAGCAAAGCUGUAUCAUAGAUAGAUAGCCUCAAAUUACUUGGCUGUAGCCUUACUGACCUACAUUAUGAGUUUGAAUAGACCAAGUACCAGUCGAGAUUACAGUACCAUUGUGUGAUGUGUUCACAUUUGUCUUUGUUGCUCAAAAACAGACGUUUGUAUUAUGCAUUAGCAGGUAGUGUUUACCCCUAGCCUCCAAUGACUUACGGGACUACAGCUGCGCACCACUGCAACGCAGUCUUGCUCAAGAGGGAAGGAUGGAAUUUCCUGACCUGUCUCAGACAGUAGAUCAUCAGUCUUCACCACUCCUGGCAGCUAUGAAGGAUCCAGCAUGAGCCUCAGAAUUCAGAUAAAUGCAAUGAAGGGGCAUCAAAUUACCUCAAUCAAAGACCUGAUCUGAAAAUCCUCCUUCCUGUCUUUGCAAGGACAAGAUUGCUUGCAUGAGUAAAGGAUUGACUCACUUAUUCCUAAAGGGCUCUGGCAGGUGGGAAGGUGUGCAGUUAUUCACUGAAAUCUUUGCAUGCCAGACAACUUCUGCCCAGGCAGUGCCAACACUGACACAAAUCAGCGUCUGACGAGACUGUCAGCAGAGUGACUGUGCCGCCGAGCAGGACCUUGAUGUCUCCCACGAGGCCACGGAAGAAUGCCUUGAAUAACGUGAGAAAGGUGGAAACUUACCAAAUGAGAUGCAGACACUUGCCAUGCAGAGGAGACUGGACAUCAUCCGACAUGACUUGGCUUUCUCACCUUUGAGGUUUAAUGAAGACCAGCCUCACUGCCUGCCUCAAGUAACUUCAAGGACAACACCUUCAUAAAGCAUGUGAGAGACACAGAGACACGACUUGUGGCCAGCCUGGAGUGUCUGUGGAAUGGUGGUACGGGUGGGAGCCAGACAACCCAAAAGAGGAGGGACCAACACAUCAGUGCUGUACUAAGGUGCUCGGACACUGCACCGAACGGGGGUGCAGCCACUAGCAACCCCUGCCAGCCGGGAUCACCCCUCACGUCAGAGGUCCCGCUCCCGGCGCUGCCCACGCCCCAGCUC
Grus americana (Whooping crane) is the source of this 3728-nucleotide long non-coding RNA. RefSeq lists it as uncharacterized. NCBI's taxonomy places the organism in Eukaryota, Metazoa, Chordata, Aves, Gruiformes, Gruidae. The transcript has 4 exons. The record is from RefSeq and is a predicted model, not a curated record.